AGUGAACGCUGGCGGUAGGCCUAACACAUGCAAGUCGAACGGCAGCACGGUAAGAGCUUGCUCUUACGGGUGGCGAGUGGCGGACGGGUGAGGAAUACAUCGGAAUCUACUUUUUCGUGGGGGAUAACGUAGGGAAACUUACGCUAAUACCGCAUACGACCUACGGGUGAAAGCAGGGGAUCUUCGGACCUUGCGCGAUUGAAUGAGCCGAUGUCGGAUUAGCUAGUUGGCGGGGUAAAGGCCCAUCAAGGCGACGAUCCGUAGCUGGUCUGAGAGGAUGAUCAGCCACACUGGAACUGAGACACGGUCCAGACUCCUACGGGAGGCAGCAGUGGGGAAUAUUGGACAAUGGGCGCAAGCCUGAUCCAGCCAUACCGCGUGGGUGAAGAAGGCCUUCGGGUUGUAAAGCCCUUUUGUUGGGAAAGAAAAGCAGCAGGUUAAUACCCCGCUGUUCUGACGGUACCCAAAGAAUAAGCACCGGCUAACUUCGUG
This 492-nucleotide ribosomal RNA is filed under the name uncultured bacterium. Its description in RNAcentral is "partial 16S ribosomal RNA". It matches the Rfam family "Bacterial small subunit ribosomal RNA", at positions 29 to 507 of the family's 1533-position model. The record is from RNAcentral.